CAACCGAUAUCAGCAGCACUCAUUCUCCCGUUAACGAUAUAACCAUCAUCUACCUAUCCACUCAAUAAUAUAAAAUCCCUGUACAGUCUACAGACAGGUCAGUUAGUGGUCAAUAAUCGCUACGACAAAGUACGCUACAACGCUACAAACGCGGAAAUUAUAAAGUGACCAAAGUGGAAUACGGUGUUAGUGAUCAGUGACAAGAAGAAAUCAUCCAUCUUUACCCAAGGAGUCGGUGCAAGAGUGCACAUUUGGGAUUCGAUAUAUCCUGACUCUCCCUUUGUCGCUGCACCCAGGAUGGGCGCGCCCCAGCACUAAGAGGGUGGUAGAAUGAGGAUCGGCCUAUUUAUUCCGCCAACACAGAAUGGCGUAAUGGUGGUAGUGAUCACAGUGUUGCAGUAAUCCCACCAGCAGUUAAUUCGGCGUCAGUGGAAUGGACUCCGAUCGGUAUAGUCGGAGCUAUCAGCAUGAUGGAUCGCUGUCCGGACAGUACGAAGCAUGUUUCAACCGCCGUGGGAUAGACAUCGACACUCUGACACACUUCCACAUUAGUGUUAAGACAACGUAGGUUAGGGAUGCACAGACAUAGGAGUAAGUAAUAAAACCUUUUUUUUAGUUUUCUUUAUCCAAAUUUUAAUUAAUUUCAAUCAUUAAAUGAAUAGUAUUAUGUGAAAUUAUGACUCUUUCUUUGUGCUAUUGGGAGAUUCGGAAGAAUUCUACGUUUCAUAUCGCUUUU
Long non-coding RNA from Armigeres subalbatus, 736 nucleotides. RefSeq lists it as uncharacterized. Lineage: Eukaryota; Metazoa; Arthropoda; Insecta; Diptera; Culicidae. The record is from RefSeq and is a predicted model, not a curated record. The transcript has 3 exons.